GGGGCAGCAUGGUCUUAGCUUGCUAAGGCCGAUGGCGACCGGCGCACGGGUGAGUAACACGUAUCCAACCUGCCGUCUACUCUUGGACAGCCUUCUGAAAGGAAGAUUAAUACAAGAUGGCAUCAUGAGUCCGCAUGUUCACAUGAUUAAAGGUAUUCCGGUAGACGAUGGGGAUGCGUUCCAUUAGAUAGUAGGCGGGGUAACGGCCCACCUAGUCUUCGAUGGAUAGGGGUUCUGAGAGGAAGGUCCCCCACAUUGGAACUGAGACACGGUCCAAACUCCUACGGGAGGCAGCAGUGAGGAAUAUUGGUCAAUGGGCGAGAGCCUGAACCAGCCAAGUAGCGUGAAGGAUGGCUGCCCUAUGGGUUGUAAACUUCUUUUAUAAAGGAAUAAGGUCGGGUAUGCAUACCCGUUUGCAUGUACUUUAUGAAUAAGGAUCGGCUAACUCCGUGCCAGCAGCCGCGGUAAUACGGAGGAUCCGAGCGUUAUCCGGAUUUAUUGGGUUUAAAGGGAGCGUAGAUGGAUGUUUAAGUCAGUUGUGAAAGUUUGCGGCUCAACCGUAAAAUUGCAGUUGAUACUGGAUAUCUUGAGUGCAGUUGAGGCAGGCGGAAUUCGUGGUGUAGCGGUGAAAUGCUUAGAUAUCACGAAGAACUCCGAUUGCGAAGGCAGCCUGCUAAGCUGCAACUGACAU
Molecule: ribosomal RNA, 691 nt
Filed under: uncultured Bacteroidales bacterium
Lineage: Bacteria; Pseudomonadati; Bacteroidota; Bacteroidia; Bacteroidales
Description: bacterial SSU rRNA
Rfam family: Bacterial small subunit ribosomal RNA
Source: RNAcentral